Molecule: small nucleolar RNA, 102 nt
Filed under: Erinaceus europaeus (western European hedgehog)
Lineage: Eukaryota; Metazoa; Chordata; Mammalia; Eulipotyphla; Erinaceidae
Description: Small nucleolar RNA SNORA32 (ENSEEUG00000022468.1)
Source: RNAcentral
AGGCCAUUACCAAGGCUUUUUUCAAGAAUGUGGGAUCCUAUUUACUGUGGACAUGACCAUAAAAUAUUUUUCUCUACGAACCAGAUACUUGUAGGAAUAAUA